RNAcentral lists this ribosomal RNA (176 nucleotides) under uncultured bacterium. RNAcentral's name for it is "partial 16S ribosomal RNA". It matches the Rfam family "Bacterial small subunit ribosomal RNA", at positions 1311 to 1500 of the family's 1533-position model. The record is from RNAcentral.
CUCGCCUACAUGAAGCUGGAAUUGCUAGUAAUCACAGGUCAGCAUACUGUGGUGAAUACGUUCCCGGGCCUUGUACACACCGCCCGUCACACCAUGAGAGUUGAGAAUACCCGAAGUCCAUGUCAAAGUGGCCGAAGGUAGGCUUGAUGAUUGGGGUGAAGUCGUAACAAGGUAGC